This 506-nucleotide ribosomal RNA is filed under the name iceman fungal clone 'Sim C2'. RNAcentral's name for it is "SSU rRNA". It matches the Rfam family "Eukaryotic small subunit ribosomal RNA", at positions 599 to 1110 of the family's 1831-position model. Lineage: Eukaryota; Fungi; Ascomycota. The record is from RNAcentral.
GUAUAUUAAAGUUGUUGCAGUUAAAAAGCUCGUAGUUGAACCUUGGGCCUGGUUGGCGGUCCGCCUCACCGCGUGCACUGGUCCGACCGGGUCUUUCCUUCUGAGGAGCCGCAUGCCCUUCACUGGGUGUGUCGGGGAAUCAGGACUUUUACUUUGAAAAAAUUAGAGUGUUCAAAGCAGGCCUAUGCUCGAAUACAUUAGCAUGGAAUAAUAGAAUAGGACGUGUGGUUCUAUUUUGUUGGUUUCUAGGACCGCCGUAAUGAUUAAUAGGGAUAGUCGGGGGCAUCAGUAUUCAAUUGUCAGAGGUGAAAUUCUUGGAUUUAUUGAAGACUAACUACUGCGAAAGCAUUUGCCAAGGAUGUUUUCAUUAAUCAGUGAACGAAAGUUAGGGGAUCGAAGACGAUCAGAUACCGUCGUAGUCUUAACCAUAAACUAUGCCGACUAGGGAUCGGGCGAUGUUAUCUUUUUGACUCGCUCGGCACCUUACGAGAAAUCAAAGUCUUUGG